UACAGAGGGGGCAAGCGUUGUUCGGAAUUACUGGGCGUAAAGGGCGCGUAGGCGGCCCGCUAAGUCGAACGUGAAAUCCCCGGGCUCAACCCGGGAACUGCGUCCGAUACUGGUGGGCUCGAAUCCGGGAGAGGGAUGCGGAAUUCCAGGUGUAGCGGUGAAAUGCGCAGAUAUCAGGAAGAACACCCGUGGCGAAAGCGGCUCUCUGGAACGGUACUGACGCUGAGACGCGAAAGCGUGGGGAGCGAACAGG
RNAcentral lists this ribosomal RNA (253 nucleotides) under uncultured bacterium. Its description in RNAcentral is "partial 16S ribosomal RNA". It matches the Rfam family "Bacterial small subunit ribosomal RNA", at positions 524 to 776 of the family's 1533-position model. The record is from RNAcentral.